Molecule: ribosomal RNA, 1440 nt
Filed under: Triticum aestivum (bread wheat)
Lineage: Eukaryota; Viridiplantae; Streptophyta; Magnoliopsida; Poales; Poaceae
Description: partial small subunit ribosomal RNA
Source: RNAcentral
AUGGCGCUCCCGGCGCGCUCCCUGGCUAUGGUCCGCCUGCUGGCUACAGGCACCCCGGGGCGAGCUCGUCGUCCUCGCCGGUUCCUGCCUGGGACAUGGCCUCUCUGCAGGCCGCGCUUCACAGCGCCACCGCCGGGCCGUCGUCUUCCGGCACCUCCCAGGAAUGGUACCUCGACUCUGGGGCCGCGUCACACAUGUCAUCCUCGCCUGGACCUUCGAACCAAGGCGGUGAUCCUCCGAUGUAACUCCGGCGGCGAUCUCUACCCUGUGGGCCGUCCCUCGUCUUCCUCCUCACGGUGGUUUGCUGGCACUGUCACGAUCGAUCUCUGGCACCAGCGACUUGGGCACCCCGGGCGCGCGUCGUCAGCAGCUCUUCCGCUUGAGUUCACCAAGUCCACGCCGCAUGUAUGCCAUGCAUGUCGCGUUGGCAAGCACAUCCGUCUCCCGUUUGAGUCGUCUAGCAGUCAUAGCAUGUUUCCUUUUCAACUCUUGCAUCUUGAUGUAUGGACUUCACCUAUUAUAAGCAUAUCUGGCUAUCAGUAUUACUUGGUUAUCCUAGAUGAUUACACGCAUUACGUCUGGACCUUUCCUCUCAAGCAUAAGUCUGAAAUCUUGCAGAUUCUUGUCGAGUUUUUUGUUUAUGUUCAGACGCAAUUUCAGUUGCCCAUUUUUGCUUUACAAACUGAUAAUGGGCGUGAGUUCGACAAUGCUGGGGUGCGCUCGCUUCUUGCUCGCCACGGCGCUCACUUUCGCCUCACCUGUCCAUACACUAGCCAACAUAACGACAAGGCUGAGCGUGUCCUCCGCACGCUCAACGACGGCGUUCGUGCCCUGCUUGUUCAUGCCUCCAUGCCCGCCCGCUUAUGGGCCGAGGCACUCAGCGCUUCCACCUAUCUUCUGAACCGUAGACCAUGCCGUUCCAGCUCACCACGCUCACCCCAUGAGCUUUUGCUCGGCGUGGCCCCUGACUACACACUUCUCCGCGUCUUCGGCUGCUUGUGCUACCCAAAUCUCACCGCCACCACCCGCCACAAGCUUGAUCGCCGCUCCACGGCCUGUAUGUUUCUUGGGUAUCCUCCGGAUCAUCGCGGCUACAGGUGCUUUGAUCCCGUUACACGGCGCGUCUUCACUUCCCGGCAUGUGGUGUUUCAUGAGACGGUGUUCCCCUUUGCCAGAACCUCACCCGAUGACACCACUCCGCUGCCACCUCCUGCAAGCUCGCCGCCAGUUUUGCAGGUCCCGCUCAACGUCGGGAGGCCUGAAGUGCCUACGCCACCGCCUACUUCCACUACGGCGACGCGAUCAUCGCUGGACGCCUCGUCCACCCGCGCGGCCAGUCCGCCCCGCUCGCGAUCAACCGCGCCCGUCCGCUCUUCAUCGACCGGCGCGGCCAGUGGAUCGGCGGCGGGGGGCUCUGCCUCGAGCGCGCCCUCGACCUGA